AGGACGAACGCUGGCGGCGUGGAUAAGACAUGCAAGUCGAACGAGACUUUUCGUUGUAGCAAUACGAUGGAAAGUUUAGUGGCGAACGGGUGCUUAACACGUGGGCAACCUGCCGAGAAGUGGGGGAUAGCUCGCCGAAAGGCGAAUUAAUACCGCAUGUGAUUAGAGAGGACAUCCUUUCGAAAUUAAAGUCGGGGCAACCUGACGCUUUUUGUGGGGCCCGCGGCCUAUCAGCUAGUUGGUGAGGUAACGGCUCACCAAGGCUUUGACGGGUAGC
RNAcentral lists this ribosomal RNA (277 nucleotides) under uncultured bacterium. RNAcentral's name for it is "partial small subunit ribosomal RNA". It matches the Rfam family "Bacterial small subunit ribosomal RNA", at positions 26 to 287 of the family's 1533-position model. The record is from RNAcentral.